This 243-nucleotide ribosomal RNA is filed under the name uncultured Staphylococcus sp. RNAcentral's name for it is "partial 16S ribosomal RNA". It matches the Rfam family "Bacterial small subunit ribosomal RNA", at positions 120 to 355 of the family's 1533-position model. The record is from RNAcentral. Lineage: Bacteria; Bacillati; Bacillota; Bacilli; Caryophanales; Staphylococcaceae.
GGUACGGUACACUAUAAGACUGGGAUAACUUCGGGAAACCGGAGCUAAUACCGGAUAAUAUUUCGAACCGCAUGGUUCGAUAGUGAAAGAUGGUUUUGCUAUCACUUAUAGAUGGACCCGCGCCGUAUUAGCUAGUUGGUAAGGUAACGGCUUACCAAGGCGACGAUACGUAGCCGACCUGAGAGGGUGAUCGGCCACACUGGAACUGAGACACGGUCCAGACUCCUACGGGAGGCAGCAGUC